CGGGAGGCAGCAGUGGGGAAUAUUGCACAAUGGGGGAAACCCUGAUGCAGCAACGCCGCGUGGAGGAUGACACAUUUCGGUGCGUAAACUCCUUUUAUAUGGGAAGAUAAUGACGGUACCAUAUGAAUAAGCACCCGGCUAA
Molecule: ribosomal RNA, 142 nt
Filed under: uncultured bacterium
Lineage: Bacteria
Description: partial 16S ribosomal RNA
Rfam family: Bacterial small subunit ribosomal RNA
Source: RNAcentral